Molecule: ribosomal RNA, 752 nt
Filed under: uncultured archaeon
Lineage: Archaea
Description: bacterial SSU rRNA
Rfam family: Archaeal small subunit ribosomal RNA
Source: RNAcentral
UUCCGGUUGAUCCCGCCGGAGGUCAUUGCUAUCGGAGUCCGAUUUAGCCAUGCUAGUCGUGCGAGUUCAUACUCGCGGCACCGAGCUCAGUAACACGUGGCCAAACUACCCUACAGAGACGGAUACCCUCGGGAAACUGAGGCUAACCCGUCAUACCGAUCUCAGGCUUGAACUGCAGAGAUCACUAAAUGCCCCGGCGCUGUAGGAUGUGGCUGCGGUUGAUUAGGUUGACGGUGGGGUAACGGCCCACCGUGCCCAUAAUCAGUACAGGUUGUGAGAGCAAGAACCUGGAGACGGAAUCUGAGACAAGAUUCCGGGCCCUACGGGGCGCAGCAGGCGCGAAACCUUUACACUGCACGCACGUGCGAUAAGGGGACUCCGAGUGCGAGGGCAUAUCGUCCUCGCUUUCGUGUACCGUAGGGUGGUACACCAACAAGGGCUGGGCAAGACCGGUGCCAGCCGCCGCGGUAAUACCGGCAGCCCGAGUGAUGACCGAUCUUAUUGGGCCUAAAGCGUCCGUAGCUGGCUGCGCAAGUCCGUCGGGAAAUCCACUCGCUCAACGAGUGGGCGUCCGACGGAAACUGCACAGCUUGGGACCGGAAGGCUCGAAGGGUACGUUCGGGGUAGGAGUGAAAUCCCAUAAUCCCGCACGGACCACCGAUGGCGAAAGCACUUCGAGAAAACGGAUCCGACAGUGAGGGACGAAAGCCAGGGUCUCCAACCGGAUUAGAUACCCGGGUAGUCCUGGCCGU